RNAcentral lists this ribosomal RNA (449 nucleotides) under uncultured bacterium. Its description in RNAcentral is "bacterial SSU rRNA". It matches the Rfam family "Bacterial small subunit ribosomal RNA", at positions 329 to 794 of the family's 1533-position model. The record is from RNAcentral.
CUCCAGACUCCUACGGGAGGCAGCAGUGGGGAAUAUUGCACAAUGGGGGAAACCCUGAUGCAGCGACGCCGCGUGAGCGAUGAAGUAUUUCGGUAUGUAAAGCUCUAUCAGCGGGGAAGAAGAUGACGGUACCUGACUAAGAAGCCCUGGCUAACUACGUGCCAGCAGCCGCGGUAAUACGUAGGGGGCAAGCGUUAUCCGGAUUUACUGGGUGUAAAGGGAGCGUAGACGGCGAUGCAAGCCAGAUGUGAAAGCCCGGGGCUCAACCCCGGGACUGCAUUUGGAACUGUGUGGCUGGAGUGUCGGAGAGGCAGGCGGAAUUCCUAGUGUAGCGGUGAAAUGCGUAGAUAUCAGGAGGAACAUCGGCGGCGAAGGCGGCCUGCUGGACCGCGACUGACGUUGAGGCUCGAAAGCGUGGGGAGCAAACAGGAUUAGAUACCCCAGUAAGA